Molecule: ribosomal RNA, 325 nt
Filed under: uncultured Acidobacteriota bacterium
Lineage: Bacteria; Pseudomonadati; Acidobacteriota
Description: bacterial SSU rRNA
Rfam family: Bacterial small subunit ribosomal RNA
Source: RNAcentral
CUGUCGUCAGCUCGUGUCGUGAGAUGUUGGGUUAAGUCCCGCAACGAGCGCAACCCUUGUUUCCUGUUGCCAUCGGGUAAUGCCGGGCACUCUGGAGAGACUGCCGGUGACAAACCGGAGGAAGGUGGGGAUGACGUCAAGUCAGCAUGGCCUUUAUGUCUGGGGCUACACACGUGCUACAAUGGCCGGUACAAAGCGUCGCAAACUCGCGAGAGUGAGCUAAUCGCAGAAAGCCGGUCUCAGUUCGGAUUGCAGGCUGCAACUCGCUUGCAUGAAGUUGGAAUCGCUAGUAAUCGCGGAUCAGCACGCCGCGGUGAAUACGUUC